UAAGGUUUAAUUAUAGUCUUUGAAUGUUUAAAUAAUUAUUAUCUAUAAUUGAUUUAAGUAGUAGGCAAUAAAUUUUUACCUUGUUUUUUAUUAUUUGUAUAAAUUUUGUUCCAGAAUAAUCGGCUAUUCAAAAAAAAUUUAUUCUUUAAUUGUUUUUAUUGCAGUUUUUUUUUGUUUUAUUUAUAAAAUUAUUGGUAAAAUAUUAUUUUUUUUUAAAAAAAAGAAUUGUGAUAGAAAGUUUUUUUAGAAAAGAAUUAGAUUAGUACCUAAGUAUUGAAAUUAUAAGAUUGCAGGAGUAAAGUUGAGUUUAAACUGAAUUAAUUUUGGCAGAUAGAUAAUUAUUCUUUGGAGGUUGAGACGUAAUCGAGAACCCUCGUUAUUUACUUAUUUUUUAGGUGUUUGUAUGAUCGUUUUUAUUAGUUUUAAGAAUUUAUAUUUUUCUGAAGUAGUGGGAGUAAAAAUAGAUAUAUAUGAAAUUUAUAAUUAAGAUUGUAUUUUGACCUACAAUUUAUUAUUAAUUGGAUAAAUAAAUAAGUUUAUUUUGAAAUUGUAAAAGAAAGUAAAAUAAUUUUUAUGUUUAUUUGAAUACUUUUUUUCUAUGGUACAAAUCAUCCAUCAAUUGCCUAAAUGGGAGUAAGUUGUAGUAAAGUAGAUUUAUGGGAACUUGAAUCUAUAAU
This 677-nucleotide non-coding RNA is filed under the name Dictyocaulus viviparus (bovine lungworm). Lineage: Eukaryota; Metazoa; Nematoda; Chromadorea; Rhabditida; Metastrongylidae. The record is from RNAcentral.